This 253-nucleotide ribosomal RNA is filed under the name uncultured bacterium. Its description in RNAcentral is "partial 16S ribosomal RNA". It matches the Rfam family "Bacterial small subunit ribosomal RNA", at positions 524 to 776 of the family's 1533-position model. The record is from RNAcentral.
UACGGGGGGGGCAAGCGUUGUUCGGAAUUAUUGGGCGUAAAGCGCGCGCAGGCGGUCUCUUAAGUCUGAUGUGAAAGCCCACGGCUCAACUGUGGAGGGUCAUUGGAAACUGGGGGACUUGAGUACAGAAGAGGAAAGCGGAAUUCCACGUGUAGCGGUGAAAUGCGCAGAUAUCAGGAAGAACACCCGUGGCGAAGGCGGCUCUCUGGUACGUGACUGACGCUGAGACGCGAAAGCGUGGGGAGCGAACAGG